GGAUCAUGGCUGUGUAGGGACCUGGGAACCACGCUGUCUCACCUUCAGGUGCUGUGGAUAUCUCACUGCAGCCUGGUAGACCUGGAUGCUCUCCCCUCCUCUCUCAAGGAGCUGUAUGUGGUCUACAACAGAGUGUCGAACCUGAGUCAGGUGAGCAUGCUGGAGAAUCUACAGCUGUUGGACCUGGAAGGGAAUGAUGUGGAUGACCUGGUGCAGGUGCAGUACCCAGACCUGCGCUCCCAACUCCGCACGCUCACCCUAGAGGGAAACCCUGUCUGUAUGCACCCCCACCCUAAUGCCACAGAGGAGAGAGCAGCCAGUGUGAGUGCCUACUCCAGACCCAGCUCUGGCCAGCGCCUAGCUAACAGCCUCUCCAGUUCCCGUCCCUCCAGCCGACCGGUCAGUGCAAGGCCCCUCUCAGCAGUUGACUCCAGACCCCUUUCUGGGUCGUGACCCUUAUCAGGGGCUGGGUCCAGAGUCCUCUCUCCUUCCGGGUCCAGAUCCGGUUCUGCUGAUGUAGGUCCAGCCUCUGUGGACCCAGACGCUAGCGUUCUGACGCACGUGCAGGGAAGAUCUUGUUCUGUGGAAAUCCUGUCCAGGCCCUCAGAGCCAGGUGACAGAAGAUGAGGAUGUCUAUUAGCCAUGGAGGGGGAUGGCCUCAGAUACUGCCCAUCCUCCACAGUGAUGAAGAGAAGGAUGAUGAAGGAAGUCUCAGCAUUUUCAGUGGCGAGGAGGUGGGUGGAAAAAGAGACGGGUCGAGUCACUGGGCAACUUACCUUUCCAGUCCCCCUCUUCAGAUGUGUUUCAGAUAAAAGCCAAAUCCCUUGAGGUGGCCUGUAUCUCCCUGUCCUCUGAAUCCACUCUGACGCCUUCUCCCCCUCAAAACGCCACAUCAGACCCUGGUGGCCGGAGGGUGUUAGAGCUGCGAGCGCGCAGACUGAGGCUUAGUGGUGGGGUGGCUGAGGCCAGAGCUGGGACUGCUGUAAAGCCUACUGACGACCACACAGAGCUAGGGCCAAUUAGAGGAGACCCAGGCUUGAGGAACCAAGGGCUACAGGAGUCUAUGAGGCCCAAAGUCCCUGUGCUUCCCCAGGCUACUCCCCACCUGCCACACAGCCUCCAUCCCCCUAGUCCAAGGGCUCAGUCACCGACAGGCAGAGCUUCUGUGCAGUCCAGCAACGGGCAUCAACCAAUCCCCUCGUACAGACCACCAGAGAGGAUGACCAUCAUGUUUAGGGAAGAGGACCCUGGGGGCUGGAUUACAUCCAACAAUCACCUGAAGAGUGGAACAUAGGAAGUUCACACUUGGAUUCCAUAGAUUCUAUCUCAGUGUAUUGACUCCCUCUGCUGGACAGUUAUAGAAUCACUUGCAUCCCUCUUUUCUUUCCCAGCUCAGAAUUGUACAGUACUGACCUCACAGUGCCUUUACUGAGGACAACAGCCCUUGUAGGAGUGGGGGGGCACAGUCCCGAAAUUGCAUUUUUUGUAGCCCACUGUUUUAUCAUUGGAAUGUGAUACAAAACAAGGCAACGGUGUGCUUAAGGACCAUGUGGACGACCUCCGAGCGGUCGGAUAGGCUGUUUGGAGUGUUCAUCCGACUGGAUUAAAAAAAGUAAUAAUAAUGUCCCCCCAUCUUCUAAAACCAAAGUUGUGCCCCUGAUCAUAGCAAAAGUAAUGAAGACAUCACAUGGAGUUUUCUAAAUGAAAUAGUGUAUGUGCAUAUAAUCAGACUGUGUCAGAGUGCUUUAGGCUAGUACUAACACUACUGAAGCUUUUUCUGAAUAUUUGGGGAAAGUUAGUUGGCCAGUGUUCCUGCUUAGAGAAAUACCCCUGAGCUGCUGGAUCAGGACCAGUGCUAUUGUGAAGCUUACAAUGGAAAGGUCAGGACCAGAGAGAGGAAAACUGAUCCUAAAUCAGUUCCUAUGGGUAGAAUGAAAUUUAAGUGCUGUUUGUUUUGACUGGAGAAACUCUGUGACACCCUCCUCUUCAUGUGGCGUCCCAUGUCGACAACAGCUGAACAAUUUUAAACCAAGCUGACAUAUUUGAGCAAGCCCAAUCCUGUUCCGGGAGACCGGGAAUCCACACACACAUACACACUCACACAGCAAACUGAGGGCCUGAUUCCAGUCCACAUGCCUGUCAGUUCCGCUUCAUUGCGGUCUCAGGCAACAGGACACAAAUAAAGGAGCAAUAGAAUAACAAAACAUUGUCUGUCAUCACAACCACAGACUACUGUUAGAUUACUUACUACCAUAGAAGACUUGUGUGGGAUUAAUGGAUACACAGAAACACAGAAAAUACCAUACGAAGGUGCGUGUUUCAACCACGAGACUGUCCUUACAUAACAAGAAGAAGCUGUUGGUUUGACUUGCCUGAAUAACCUGAUGCAUUUUGCUGCCUCCUGUCUGAGCCCAUCUGUGCAGCCGUUUCCCAACACGCACCUGUGCUCUCACCAGCCAUGUCUCACAUGAUCUGUAUAGCUGGCACCCUGUUGGGCCUUCUCAACUGCAAUGCCUACUUACUGCUCAUCUCAUUUAACCAGAGAAUUUAAUUCUCUGAGGUUAACACUCUUGGCAAAGGGCAAUCAUCCACACUGCCUGCUAGUGAUGAGAGAGAGAGAGGGAGAUCUAUGCAGCAGACAUCUGGAGAGGGAAGCUCAGUCAGGGGUCCAGGUAGUAGGCUCAUUUAACAGGUUUAUAAUUUGACUGUGGAAAGACAGACUCCCAGCUGGUGGUGACUGACUGGAAUUUGGAUUGUAGAGAGCUUGGCCCUGCUCACCAGUCAUUAGUCUGUAACCAACCAGGUGCACUGUAAAUGUAGCCUGCAGGUUGUAUAUAUCCUCUCCCACCAUUACACCACACACUGAAGUCUACUAGCGUUAUCAUAAAACGAGAAAAUACCUUCACCACUAUACAAGGCUGCUAUUUGUAACCAGCUGACCACUACAUAAAGAUGACAGACCACAUAGUAAAGGGCCUGGUAACAGACUAUGUCAGGGUGUGGGUACAUUGGUUGGACCCUUCUGCCCCUGGGUUACUGUGAAUGGAACACUAUCAUUACAACCUUGUUGGGAGAUGAUUGACACUGUUGGUAUGGCAGCAGGUGGAAGGAAGAUGCUUUUUCUUUGAUAUCAAAUUAAAAAGACAAUUAUACCACC
This is a non-coding RNA of Salvelinus sp. IW2-2015, 3157 nucleotides long. The record is from RefSeq and is a predicted model, not a curated record. NCBI's taxonomy places the organism in Eukaryota, Metazoa, Chordata, Actinopteri, Salmoniformes, Salmonidae.